UUAUUUAAUUCGAUAAUCCGCAAGGGUCAUUUGAUGAAAAUAAUCCUAUUACCUUACUAUGAGUGUCGUCCAAAUCUGGUGCCAGAAGACUCGGUAAGACCAGAGACGCAAACGUUAAUCAUCUUAAACAGGCGUAAAGGGUUUGUAGGCAGCUUUCACUUUAAAAUAUAUUUUAUUAUUUUAAUCAAUAAUGGGAGCUAGAAUCAAAAAGAGGUUAUAGUGUAUAACGCCUAGAGGAGGGCUGAUAUCCUUAGAUCCUAGGUAGAAUACUCAGGGCGAAGGCCACUCUCCACAAAUGAUUGACGCUGAGAAACGAAGGUUAGGGUAGGAAAUAGGAUUAGAUACCCCGGUACUCCUUUCUGUAAACGAUGAAUGGUAGUCAUUAGUAACUGUAAAAGUAAAAAUAUCUUUUUACAAAAUUUACUAGAGGCGAAGUUAACACAAUAACCAUUCCGCCUUGUGAGUACUACUGCAAAGUAGAAAACAAAAAAAUUAGUCGGUCUCGAAGCAAACGGAGUGAAGCAUGUUAUUUA
RNAcentral lists this ribosomal RNA (533 nucleotides) under Amauroderma sp. RNAcentral's name for it is "partial small subunit ribosomal RNA". It matches the Rfam family "Bacterial small subunit ribosomal RNA", at positions 415 to 948 of the family's 1533-position model. Lineage: Eukaryota; Fungi; Basidiomycota; Agaricomycetes; Polyporales; Polyporaceae. The record is from RNAcentral.